UACGAAGGGUGCAAGCGUUACUCGGAAUUACUGGGCGUAAAGCGUGCGUAGGUGGUGCGUUAAGUCUGUCGUGAAAGCCCCGGGCUCAACCUGGGAAUGGCGAUGGAUACUGGCGCGCUAGAGUGCGGUAGAGGAGAGUGGAAUUCCCGGUGUAGCAGUGAAAUGCGUAGAGAUCGGGAGGAACACCGGUGGCGAAGGCGGUUCUCUGGGCCUUACCUGACGCUGAGGAGCGAAAGCGUGGGGAGCGAACAGG
This 253-nucleotide ribosomal RNA is filed under the name uncultured bacterium. Its description in RNAcentral is "partial 16S ribosomal RNA". It matches the Rfam family "Bacterial small subunit ribosomal RNA", at positions 524 to 776 of the family's 1533-position model. The record is from RNAcentral.